Molecule: long non-coding RNA, 616 nt
Filed under: Anas platyrhynchos platyrhynchos (common mallard)
Lineage: Eukaryota; Metazoa; Chordata; Aves; Anseriformes; Anatidae
Description: lncRNA (ENSAPLG00000023094.1)
Source: RNAcentral
UAAGAAGCCAUAUAGCUAGGCCAGUCACUAUGUGAAUGAGACCUGACCUCAAUAAAGCCUCCAUUUACUCAAUAAAAGUCCUAGCAAAGGUUGUAGGCACUCUUUUAUUAUAACCUUUUCCUUUCAGGCUAAACCUGUGAUCCACAAAUCUGAGUCCCCAAGCUCAGGUCCUGUUUGAGAAUCCUUGGAGAAGAAAUCUCCCCUUUCUGAUGGAUUGACAAACCUCUCCUGACUCUACCGAGAGCAAUAUUCAGACAAGCCCAGGUUCACAAAGACAGGAUUGCUCAAAUGGAAAUUGGGAAACUCUGGAAACCUGAACUGACCAUUAAGGAGAAGUCCCAGUGGAGGGAGCCAAGUGUAACAAGGCAGACACUCACGUAGCUUCAUGCAGACUGCAAGGAUGGGAAAGCCAGUCAUUAAGGCACAAGUGAACAAAACAAUUAAAGAUGGAGACAGAAGUCUGUGUUCCUGUGGGAUAACCUUUCAUUUCAUAAAUAAUUAUUUACAUUUAAAUGUAAAUAUUUCUGACCUCUGAUUUGUUCAGAUAGCCAUGGUCAGGGUGCAACAACAGAAUCAUUUUGUUCUGAUACUUGUUCUGAUGUUUAUAAAAUAAAAU